This is an RNA transcript of Rosa rugosa (rugosa rose), 2705 nucleotides long. It is a transcript of the gene named adenosine kinase 1-like, with no coding region annotated. Lineage: Eukaryota; Viridiplantae; Streptophyta; Magnoliopsida; Rosales; Rosaceae. The transcript is spliced from 13 exons. The record is from RefSeq and is a predicted model, not a curated record.
UAGUGGGUGGAGAGUCUUUCAAGGACACCCGGUUUAGGGUAUGUUGUGUCCUAGUAUUGGGCUCCAAUUAAAAAACUAAAAUCCUAUUGAAAUAACAAAACGCGGCACACUGCACUGUACUUCGCGUUUUCAAUUCCCUCCCAAAAUUUCACUUCCCUCCUCCCCCAAUUUUCGAUUUUCCUCUUCAAUUGAAACCCUCCCCAAAUAGAGAAAGAUGUUUCAUUCACUCUGGGUUGACGCAUUCUGGGCGCCGCCAAGCUUCGGUAGAGAGUCUCUGUUGUGUUCUCUCUCUCAGGCAAUUUCUUGGUCGCUUCCUCUAACACUCGCACAGACACGCCUUUAUCUCUCGUCUUUAAUCUAUCUCUGUAUUCUAGGAUUUCAAUUUAACCUAAUUUUUUUGUAAUUCAUUGGAAUGGACUCUGAUUCGUAGAGCAAUCUCUUCCCGUCCUCAAACGCGAGGUGAUCUGUUCGAACACGAGGAAACAUAAGGAGACGAUGAGAUAAAGGCUGAGUUGCUGUGCCCCUUUUGCGUGGAAGAUUUCGAUGUCGUUGGGGUAUAAUAAUUUUGCAAAGAACGGGGUAUAAUUAUAAAUCAGAUUCUGGGUCAUCCGAUUCUCUGGAUAGCUUAUUUGGCGACAAAGAUGCAAGCAGUGCUCUGGAAGUUUCUAGUAUCAUUCAACCAAAAGAGGCUGAUUACCCAUUUUGUUGCCUAUCAGUUGAAGAUGCUCCAAUCAAUGACUUGGUAGAUUUUAUCAUUGCUUCUCAGAUAUCUGUGAAACUUGAGAAUGAGCACAACUGCCAUAUCUAUAGGUCUUGUGUGAAAAUUAAAGUCGGACAAUUUCAGAGGGGAAUCGUACUUGGUAUUAAUAAAGGUGGUGUUGAUGUCUGCAACUGCUGAUAUUGGAAGGUACAGGGAUUACUUUAAAGAUCUUGGCGGAGAUGAACAGGUCACUUAUUGUCAAUUUGGCAACCGCUAACUGCUACAAAGUUGAGCAUUUGAAAAGACCAGAAAACUGGGCAUUAGUUGAGAAGGCCAAGUACAUCUAUGUUGCUGGUUUUUUCUCAACUGUAUAUCCAGAAUCCAUUCAGCUUGUUACUGAACAUGUAGCUGCAAAUAACAAGGUUUUCAGCAUGAACCUUUCUACCCCAUUUAUCUGUGAAUUUUUCAAGGAUGUCCAGGAGAAAGCUAGCUGUGCCCUGCUCAACGAGCCUAAAACAAUGGUUGAUUGUUGCUCAUUUGACAUUAUUUUUGGCAGAAAAUGCAUCUAUCUUGCUCAAGAGAGUUACUACAAAGCUUACACAACAGUGCCAUGCUCACUGAUGCAACAACAAAUUUAGUGAAUUCAGCUGGGUUAGAUGAUUUGAAGCUUUUGACAUAUUUUUGGAAGCUCAGAAUACAAAGACGUAAGUAGCCAAUGUGUUGUUCUGCUUAUUUAUGUGAAUUCUAUUUGCUUAUCCCCCCAACUUCACAGUGCCUAUCUUUGAAAUUGGAUUAUAAUAUAACUGCUUAUCAGAAAAUAAAUAUAUUGCUGAGAGCUGCAACAUUGUUUUAUUUUGGUAUGGAGAUAUAUUCCAAGAUACACCUUCAGUUGGUUGGUGAAAGCCAUGUGGGAUCUAAGUUUCCAGCUUGCAUAUUCCAGCUGCUAUAGUUUCAUUCUAAUUGUUUAACUUUUGUUUCGCAGCCUCUCAUCACCCAAUUUUGACUUCGGUAUUAGUCUUUUUCUCCAAUUCCACUAUAAAUAAGAAACUUCAUAUUUGUUUUCAGUUUGACUUGCAUCUAUUUCUUAGUUACUUCAUUUCAUAAAUAUUGUCUAAUGUGUUCAUCUACUUGUUUCUUUGCAACUUGAAAUCUUAAUUUUCCUUUAAUGAGUCAUUUCAAAAUUUAGUGUUGUAAUGCACAUUCCUCAUUGGUUGUAAAAGGUCAGGAGUUGCCAUCUUAAUGGUAAAGUAUGAAUACUUAUUGUUUCAUGGAGAGUUGCCAUCAUGUAUUAACAUACAUUUCUCAUUGGUUGUAGUUAUGUUGCAGUGGAGAUAUGUGGGCUGCUAUUGAUGGUGUAUCAAAGGCUUCUCAAGGUAGUGAAUAUUGGUAAUCAGUCCCAGUUUUGCAUGUCUGCACAGUACUGUACGAUGAAGCAUUACCUACAUUUCUACCUUUUACAGUCCCAAUUUGUUAUACUUUAUAAAUUUGUUUGCAUAUGGUGUAUUUUGAUUCAAUUAAUAUUGCAUUUGGUGGUGUAUUUUGAGGGGUGUACAAUUGGAGAAAGCUUCCUUUUAUUAUUAAUGCCAUUUUUUUUUUGGGUUUUUUACAAGUUUUAAGGACACGUUUUGAACGUCCUCUAUGACUCUUUUAAGUGUCCUGUUUUAGUUUUAAGGACACAUAUGAGUGUAUUUUUUGUGUCCUCUUAUGGUUUUAAGGACUCCAUUUUCAGAGCUUUUAGGACACCGUUUGUGUGUCCUAGUAUAGAAUAGAGGACACCUAUUAGAAGAUAUAAGGAUGCAAUUUAGGUGUCCUCUUAUGGAUUUAAGGACACUGCAUCUAGAGCUUUAAGGACACACAAACUGUGUCCUCGUAUAGAAAAGAGGACACGUUUUCAAUGUCCUUGUUUGAGACUUAUAAUGACUGCUGGAUAGAGGACUCUUUUUUAAAGAGUCCUUGUAUGUAUUUAAGGACACUGUUUCAGUGUCCUUAAAUGGUGUUUUUCUAG